Molecule: unclassified non-coding RNA, 2352 nt
Filed under: Hevea brasiliensis (rubber tree)
Lineage: Eukaryota; Viridiplantae; Streptophyta; Magnoliopsida; Malpighiales; Euphorbiaceae
Source: RNAcentral
CAAUAGCAGAUUGGCUGGAAAACUUCAGAUUCUAAACAUGCACUCUGUAAGAUGAGAAACCACUACCCAUUAACAUACCACCUUAAACGUUACCAAAAUUUUCACAGCAAACAAGCCUUCAAUCUAUUCAAAUUAAUAUCACCUCUUAUUCAGGUGCCAAACCCAUGUUUUUCAUUCCCUAAACCCACCAGAACGCUCCAACUAGCCAAUCUCUUACGAUCACUUCCUCAAAACAACCCCAUAUCACAUUACAAGCAAAUCUGUGCCCAAAUUAUUGUCUCAGGUCUUGAAUCUGAUGCUUUUUUAACUAAUUUACUUAUUGCUUUGUAUGCUAAGUCUGACUUUUUAUGUCAUGCACGCAAACUAUUUGACAAAAUGCCAGAGAAAAAUUUAAUUUCUUGGUCUUCAAUGCUUUCUGUGUAUUCCAAACGUGGUUUUAAUCAGGAAGCUUGGCUGUUGUUUUUGGACUUCACAAGGUGUUGCAAUGAGAGUCCAAAUGUGUAUAUUUUAGCUAGUGUUUUACGUGCUUCUACGCAACUUGAUGGUGGGUGUGGUCCUGUAGGUAAACUAAUGCAUGGUUUUAUUUUUAAGCUUGGUUUUGAUCAAGAUGUAUUUUUGGGUACGUCUUUGGUUGAUUUCUAUGCGAAGAAUGGUGACAUUGUUGAAGCCAGAAUGGUAUUUGAUGCGUUGUUGGAGAAAAGUACAAUUACUUGGACGAAAAUUAUCACGGGUUAUGUUAGAAGUGGGAGGAGUGAGGUGGCAUUGCAAUUGUUUAACCAAAUGGGAGAAAAUGAUAUUGUUCUAGAUAGAUACGUACUCUCUAGUGUUUUAAGUGCUUGUUCGACACUUAAAUUUGUUGAAGGGGGCAAGCAAAUUCAUGCUUAUGUGUUGAGGAGGGGAAUAGAAAUGGAUGUUUCAGUAGUUAACGUGCUUAUUGAUUUUUAUGCCAAGAGCAGUAAAGUUCAAACUGCCAGGAAGCUAUUUGAUCAAAUGGUAGAUAGAGAUGUAAUUUCAUGGACUACAAUGAUUGCUGGGUACAUGCAGAAUUCUUUUGAUGGGGAAGCUGUGAUGCUAUUUGUUGAGAUGACCAGAUUGGGUGGAAAGCCAGAUGGAUUUGCAUGCACUAGCAUACUCACAUCAUGUGGUUCGCUUGAGGCUCUAAUGCUGGGGAGACAAAUUCAUGCCUACAGUAUCAAGGCUAAUCUUGAGUUUGAUAUUUUUUUGAAAAAUGGUUUGAUUGAUAUGUACGCAAAAUGUGAUUCCUUGAAUGAUGCAAGAAGAGUUUUUGAUGUUAUGACUAAUCAUAACGUGGUCUCCUACAAUGCACUAAUUGAAGGAUACUCAAGAAGUGAGCAACUUUCCGACGUUAUGAUUCUUUUCCAUGAAAUGAGGCAUAGGAUGAUCCCACCAAGCCUUUUGACAUUUGUUAGUCUUCUUGGUGUAUCAGCUGCAUUAUCAUCCUUGGAAUUAAGCAAGCAAAUUCAUGCACUCACCUUUAAAUUUGGUGUCUGUUUGGCAAUAUUUGCUGGCAGUGCCUUAAUUGAUACUUAUUCAAAGUGCUUACGUCUUGUGGAUGCUAGACUUGUAUUUGAUGAGAUGAAUGAGAAAGAUAUUGUAGUGUGGAAUGCAAUGUUUUCUGGUUAUACCCAACAAUCGGAAAAUGAAGAGGCUCUCAAACUCUACUCUGAACUACAGGUAUCAGAACUAAAACCCAAUGAUUUCACUUUUGCUACCUUUAUUACUGCAGCUAGUAACCUAGCAAGUCUCCUACUUGGCCAACAAUUCCACAACCAUAUCAUAAAGAUGGGUCUAGAUUUCGAUCCAUUUAUCACAAAUUCCCUUAUACACAUGUAUGCUAAAUGUGGAAGCUUUGAAGAUGCCUGCAAGGCAUUUGGUUCUGCAAUUUGGAGAGAUGUUGCCUGCUGGAAUUCCUUAAUCUUAACAUAUGCACAUCACGGAGAAGCCAAAGAAGCUCUUCAGAUGUUUGAAGGAAUGAUGGAAGAGGGAAUAAAGCCCAACUAUGUGACAUUUGUGUCUCUGCUGUCAGCUUGUAGUCAUGCAGGUCUCGUUGAAGAUGGACUUCGUUACUUUAAAUCAAUGCCCAAGUUCUGUGGUCAUCCAGGAAUAGAACACUAUUCUUGUGUAGUUUCUCUUUUGUGUCGUGCUGGUAUACUAUAUGAAGCAAAGGAGUUUAUUGAGAAAAUGCCGAUAAAGCCAACAGCAGCAAUGUGGAGAAGCUUGCUGAGUGCAAGUAGAAUUGCUGGUAACAUUGAAUUGUCAAAAUAUGCAGCAGAGAAGGCGAUUUCAGUUGAUCCAAAUGAUAGUGGGUCAUAUACUUUACUUUCAAACAUG